RNAcentral lists this long non-coding RNA (351 nucleotides) under Androctonus crassicauda. The record is from RNAcentral. Lineage: Eukaryota; Metazoa; Arthropoda; Arachnida; Scorpiones; Buthidae.
AUAAAAGAUAUUUUGAAAAUUUUUUUGAAAUAACUGAGAUUUGUUAAAAUAAACUAUAUAAAAUUCUGAAAAUAAAAAAAUAUAUAUAAUAAGAAAAUAAUGGUUAAAUCUGUAAAAAUAAACUAAAAUGUAUGUCAAUCAUUCAUUUUUUGUUUUAAUUUCAUCAAAAUUUAGGAGAAAAUCACAAAAAAGAAUUGUAAACAUCCCAGACCAUUUAAAGGGGCAUAGCACUUCAUUGUUUUACAGCAGCCACUUGCUUCCCAGGAAAUUGCAGCCAAACCUACUUUACAUGUGGGUAAGUGGCAUUGAGUCCAGAGUUUAUAAUAAAUCUACUGUGGUCCAGUUAGAGGA